AAAGCUUCUGCGCAUGCGCGGUAACGGCGCAGCUGGCGCCCUCUAUGGGCGCUUUGGUUUUGGUUGGAAAACACGAGCCGGGCCGGCCGUCACUCGUGCAUCUCUGUGCCGUCACUGAACUAAGUCGCCUCGCUUUAGCAGCGUACAGAAAUGCCAGCGCACUGUGUGACCUACGGCUGCACGAAUUAUUUUACUCAGAAAGGAAGCACGCAUUUCUACAGGUUCCCGUCCGCGAGGCUACGUGCCGAAAAGAGAGAUGCUUGGGUAGCUGCUGUGAGGAGACAGAAUGCCGACGGUUCGCCGUGGGCGCCCAACAAACAUUCUCGGAUCUGCAGCGCGCAUUUCAUAACAGGACGGCCGUCAAAGUUCAAGAACCAUCCUGACUUCGUCCCCAGUGUGUUCACCUACGUGAGAAGUCGCGGCGAUGCUGCUGUGCGUCGCCAUAGCCGACGAUGCGACCGGUAGCCACGACGAACCAUGCCGUUGUUACAUACACGCCGGACUUCAUGGACGGUGCGCACGCCGCUCUCACCAGACCUAGUUCGUCAUCAGAUGUUUGGAGGUUCAACUUCAAGUGUUUGACGUAUCCUUCUUCCUUGAAGGACCAGCCGCGAUGAGCCUGGCGAACGGUCGAAGUAGCGGAGUGUAGGUACCGCCACACGUCGUCGUUGCUCAGGCUGCAACGCGAAAAAUCCUCGCUCCAUCCCGUUUUCACAAACGCAAACGGGAUGUUUUCUUCUUCUAUCAUGUUGUUUCCGUAAGCAGCGCACGUUUCCGGCAAAGAAACAACACUAAAUCAAUAAAACAAGCGCACGCGAGCCGCCGAACGCUGCCUAGCA
Rhipicephalus microplus (southern cattle tick) is the source of this 839-nucleotide long non-coding RNA. RefSeq lists it as uncharacterized. NCBI's taxonomy places the organism in Eukaryota, Metazoa, Arthropoda, Arachnida, Ixodida, Ixodidae. The record is from RefSeq and is a predicted model, not a curated record.